RNAcentral lists this ribosomal RNA (1363 nucleotides) under uncultured bacterium. Its description in RNAcentral is "bacterial SSU rRNA". It matches the Rfam family "Bacterial small subunit ribosomal RNA", at positions 28 to 1381 of the family's 1533-position model. The record is from RNAcentral.
AUUGAACGCUGGCGGCAGGCCUAACACAUGCAAGUCGAACGGUAACAGGAAACAGCUUGCUGUUUCGCUGACGAGUGGCGGACGGGUGAGUAAUGUCUGGGAAACUGCCUGAUGGAGGGGGAUAACUACUGGAAACGGUAGCUAAUACCGCAUAACGUCGCAAGACCAAAGAGGGGGACCCUCGGGCCUCUUGCCAUCGGAUGUGCCCAGAUGGGAUUAGCUUGUUGGUGGGGUAACGGCUCACCAAGGCGACGAUCCCUAGCUGGUCUGAGAGGAUGACCAGCCACACUGGAACUGAGACACGGUCCAGACUCCUACGGGAGGCAGCAGUGGGGAAUAUUGCACAAUGGGCGCAAGCCUGAUGCAGCCAUGCCGCGUGUAUGAAGAAGGCCUUCGGGUUGUAAAGUACUUUCAGCGGGGAGGAAGGGAGUAAAGUUAAUACCUUUGCUCAUUGACGUUACCCGCAGAAGAAGCACCGGCUAACUCCGUGCCAGCAGCCGCGGUAAUACGGAGGGUGCAAGCGUUAAUCGGAAUUACUGGGCGUAAAGCGCACGCAGGCGGUUUGUUAAGUCAGAUGUGAAAUCCCCGGGCUCAACCUGGGAACUGCAUCUGAUACUGGCAAGCUUGAGUCUCGUAGAGGGGGGUAGAAUUCCAGGUGUAGCGGUGAAAUGCGUAGAGAUCUGGAGGAAUACCGGUGGCGAAGGCGGCCCCCUGGACGAAGACUGACGCUCAGGUGCGAAAGCGUGGGGAGCAAACAGGAUUAGAUACCCUGGUAGUCCACGCCGUAAACGAUGUCGACUUGGAGGUUGUGCCCUUGAGGCGUGGCUUCCGGAGCUAACGCGUUAAGUCGACCGCCUGGGGAGUACGGCCGCAAGGUUAAAACUCAAAUGAAUUGACGGGGGCCCGCACAAGCGGUGGAGCAUGUGGUUUAAUUCGAUGCAACGCGAAGAACCUUACCUGGUCUUGACAUCCACGGAAGUUUUCAGAGAUGAGAAUGUGCCUUCGGGAACCGUGAGACAGGUGCUGCAUGGCUGUCGUCAGCUCGUGUUGUGAAAUGUUGGGUUAAGUCCCGCAACGAGCGCAACCCUUAUCCUUUGUUGCCAGCGGUCCGGCCGGGAACUCAAAGGAGACUGCCAGUGAUAAACUGGAGGAAGGUGGGGAUGACGUCAAGUCAUCAUGGCCCUUACGACCAGGGCUACACACGUGCUACAAUGGCGCAUACAAAGAGAAGCGACCUCGCGAGAGCAAGCGGACCUCAUAAAGCGCGUCGUAGUCCGGAUUGGAGUCUGCAACUCGACUCCAUGAAGUCGGAAUCGCUAGUAAUCGUGGAUCAGAAUGCCACGGUGAAUACGUUCCCGGGCCU